Molecule: long non-coding RNA, 1205 nt
Filed under: Monodelphis domestica (gray short-tailed opossum)
Lineage: Eukaryota; Metazoa; Chordata; Mammalia; Didelphimorphia; Didelphidae
Description: lncRNA (ENSMODG00000036305.2)
Source: RNAcentral
ACCCCCUCUUUUUCCAGAUGAGGAAUCUGAGGCCGAGAGAAAUAAUCUGAGACUGAGUUUCCAGACAGUGUUUUCUCAUUCCAGCAAGCCUGGACCCCUCUCUGUGACUCCCCUCCCUCCGGGCCGAGACCUCGGGAGCAGCAGAGGUCUUGGGUCCCGUCACACUCCAUGCGAAGUCCUUUCAAUGGAGUUUGGAAACUUUAGGCUGCUUCCUCCCGAUUGGGCUCCCGAGACUAAAGAACCUGAGGAAAUCAUUAACUUCCCAGGGCACUGCUGGGAGCUGUGACCUUUUCCGAUCUCAUUGGGAGGGGGAGGGGAGCCCCACCCUCCUGCGAGCUGGGUGGGGAGAGGCUGCUCCGGGAACAGGUGUUUCCAGGAGUCUCUCCGUUCAUCCCGGGUGCAGGUACCUGCCGCCGCCGAGGUAGUGUCCCAGCUCCCGCCCCGUAUUAUUUCUCCCUCCUUCGUCCUUCAGCUUGUUCUUUUUAAAACAAGGUGUGUGUUGGGGGGUGGGGGUGGGGGCUUUUAUGCAAAGAAACUUCAAUUUAUUAAAAUAUGAAAUUCACAUCUGAAAUUUCAAUAGCGCAUUAAGUCUGCAGAAUCAAGUUGCUGUGGCAACCUUCACUCCCGCUCCUCGCUCGGGGUGACAAAGGGGCCUUUUGUUACGUGGAGAGCGCUGGGCUGGGCAUUGGGACAUCCUAUUCAGCCAAUCCACACAAAGGAAACAUACUUCCCCCUUGGCAGGCUGGGCCCGGAGCAUGCUAUAUGAUUGCCUGUGCCUUUAAUAAUGCUUCCCCGCUAAUGCUGGGAAAAUGAGCUGCCUAUUGUUAGCUGCUUUAAACCGAAGUUUCUUCUCGGCACUUAGUGGGAGGACAGAGCCCUUGAUCGUCCUGCAUUUGCUCUUUUUAACAGGGAGGGAGCAGACCUGCCUUACGAUUUCAACCUGGGCACUGGGUUAUUUUUGCUGUGGGGAGAAGGAAGCAAACUAUUACAAUGCAUCAUGUACCACACACAAUUCAUCUCUCCAUUCCCCAUCUGAUGAGCCCCUGCUUUGUUUCCAAUUCUUUGCUGAUGGACAGAAAAAAGUGCCAUUAUGAAUAUCUUGGGGCUUAUCAAGAACCAGAGAAGCAACAUCUGAGCAAGUCAGAGGCUGAAAACAGCAGACAAACUGUGUAACUGAGAGAUUCCUGAAACUGGAGAUUUGUAAG